Vicia villosa (hairy vetch) is the source of this 2453-nucleotide long non-coding RNA. RefSeq lists it as uncharacterized. The transcript has 4 exons. The record is from RefSeq and is a predicted model, not a curated record. Lineage: Eukaryota; Viridiplantae; Streptophyta; Magnoliopsida; Fabales; Fabaceae.
AUGGUUAUAUCAGAAAAAUAAUCAAAAUCAUGUAGUUUUUUCUCAAAGGAAAGUAAACACGUGUUUACCAAAGGAAAAAAACGCUUCUCUCAAAGGCAAUGGAAACUCAUCUCUAGCGUUUUUUUCAUCGUGAAUCAUCUCCAUCAACUGUUUGUGUACUAUCGUGAAUCCUCGCCAUCGCCGUCGACUGCUUUGUGUCACCGCCGGAAUCUCCCUUUCCUCCUCUCAGUCUCGUUUUCAUGUUUUGAUUUUUCAAACUAGGAAUAGAAAUCAAGAGAAAUUACGGCUUAGAGAAGAUCUGAAGGAAGCUGAGGUUAAUGUAGGCGAGGCGUUGUUGAUUUUUUCGAAAUUGGAUCAGUGCUCACCAGUUUAAAUGAAGACAAAUGCAGAUUUCUUCCUCGCUCACAAGAUGUUCGAUGAAAUGUCCCAACUGGAUUUUUCUUCUUUUUGCUUCACUUUUGAUUUUCUUAUGCUGUGAUGUUGUGUUGUUGGUGAUUCUAUUCAAAUCACAGAUUGUGAAUUGGUUAUGAUGUUGCCAUUAUUGCCAUCUUGGAUUCCAGGGAAACGACACCAAGAUGAGGGUCUACAGAUUGGUGAAUACGAGGAGACAAUUGGAACAUGUAUCGCAUUUGAAGAACAGGGUAAGUAACAUUUCAUGGAUGCAUAAUACUUUUGAAGAUAAAUAUUAUGUCUUGGAAAUUAUGUUAUAGAUACUCUGAUAGACUACACUUGAAUAAGGCACAUAAAAUAGCACCUAAACUUAAGUAUACAAUUCAUACUUACUUUGCUUCCUCUCAACUGUUUGCUCAACUCUGUAAGGUAUGUUUGCAAACCAAAAAUUGGGAUACUAUUUGGAAACCACUUUUUGAUGGAGGCAAUUAUCUUUAUUAUUAUUAUUCUUGUGCUCAUUAGGAGGAGGGAUAUGAGGAAAUUCGUGGUGAGAUUGAGAUGUUACGACUUACGACAGUGUAAUCAUCCUAAUGUUGUCCGAUAUCUUGGAAGCUAUCAAGGAGAGGAGUAUCUUUAGGUAAGAACUAAGACGAGUUUUCCUGAACUGAACUCAUUGUUUUUAUGUCUCUGCUUUUCUGAAACUCUAGAUUUAAUGGUUUUUGUUUUUGAUUUGUGAAUAACCACACAUUUACUUAUGUACAUUAGCAGUUGGAUGGGUAAUCUCCAAAUGCACAUGUUUAUCUUCAAGUUCUGAAGUUUCACGGAAUCAAGUAUUCAACAUAAAAGUUACAGUUAACAAGUUUAAAUGUCAAUUUUUUGUAUAACAAAUUUAGAAGUAGUAACAUUUUAAUAGAUUUUUAAAAUUUAGUCCAAAGUAGAAUAAUAGAUAUAAAAAGUAAGGGUUGGAAUUUGAAUGACUACCUAUAUUGUACUAGUGUAUAAAGAUGCAUUGAAUUAGUAGGUUCAAAUUUCAAAGUCAUUUAACCACCAUAGCAGGAAACUUCCUAGGACUUCCUGUUGUCACUUUUCUGGUAGUGUUAUAUUCUCUCUCAGUUACAUACUUACAUUAUUGAUUGGAUGCAUUUUAAUUGUAUUUUAUUUUAAUUUUAGUUGAAUUGAUUGGAUGCAUUUUAAUUUUAAUAUAUAUUCAAAUUAUUUCAAAUAAAGACAUUUCUAACUUUUGUGUACUAUGCUGUCUUGGUAAGUCUCAUAGUCUCCAUUUGGAUUAGAUUUUUAAAUAAGCUAUGCAAAUCAAAACAACAUUUACUAUAUUUCUUUUAUUGACUCUAGUAUUGUUCGUAUGACAUAUAUCUUUCACACAUUUUCAUUAUAUUUUGUAACUAGCCUACAUCCACAUAUAUAAUAUUUUAUUUAGUAAGUUAUUUAAUGUUUGAACAAAUGAAACUGAACAUAUGGUUCGUCACUAGUUAAAGAAGUGUCUUUAAUUCGCUCUCACUUUCCAUGUAUGCUUUUCUUUUGGGAUUAACUUGAGUUGGACAAUCUUGCUCCAAUUAAUACUAUAUAUGUAUGGAGUGCAGCUUAAGGCACAUAUAUGGACUAAUUUUGUUAUAUUGGCUUGUGGGCAUCCCAUUUUUUUAAUAGUAGCCGGAACUAUGGCCGGUUCUCUCUUUCUGGUUGCGGCUCUCGCUACUGUACAAAGAUGCAACAAUAAAUCAUCUACCAUUAUUCCUUAGAAAAAAUCUGCCGGCCUGAAAGAGCCUGAAACAUCACACUGAAUCCUGAAUAUGUUAAAGGACGUGAGAAGAUAUAGCGGACAAGAGCUUGAAGAGGCAUGCAGAGACUUCAGUAACAUAAUUGGGUCCUCAUCCAAUUAGAUGGAUAAGGUUUUGCAUUCCUUUGAGUUCUUACAAGCUAUGAUGCCAAAACCGUCCAAGAAAAAGAAUAUAUCUACUCAACAUGAAGUCACUCAACCUUUGAAUCUUGAUUUGUACUUUUUUUUCUUUGACUUGUUGACAAAUGAUUAGUAAUAGCUUGGUUUUUUU